GACGAACGCUUGCGGCGUGCCUAAGAAAUGCAAGUCGAGCGAGGUUUAGGCUUCGGCCGACGACCUAGCGGCGAACGGUCGCGUAACACGUAAGCAACCUGCCCUAAAAGUUGGGGAUAGGCCCGCCCGAAAGGCGGAUUAAUACCGAAUGUGGAUAUGAUUUCGCAUGUGAUUAUAUCUGAAGCAGCGAUGCGCUUUAGGAUGGGCUUGCGGCCUAUCAGUUAGUUGGUGUGGGUAACGGCCUACCAAGACGACGACGGGUAGCUGGUCUGAGAGGAUGGUCAGCCGGAUUGGGACUGAGACACGGCCCAGACUCCUACGGGGGCAGCAAUUAGGAAUCUUGCGCAAUGGGCGAAAGCCUGACGCAGCGACGCCGCGUGACUGAUGAAGUCUUUCGAGAUGUAAAGGUCUUUUGUUGGGGACGAAGGAAGUGACGGUACCCGACGAAUAAGCCCCGGUAACUACGUG
RNAcentral lists this ribosomal RNA (468 nucleotides) under uncultured bacterium. RNAcentral's name for it is "bacterial SSU rRNA". It matches the Rfam family "Bacterial small subunit ribosomal RNA", at positions 28 to 507 of the family's 1533-position model. The record is from RNAcentral.